RNAcentral lists this ribosomal RNA (629 nucleotides) under Methanomicrobia archaeon. Its description in RNAcentral is "bacterial SSU rRNA". It matches the Rfam family "Archaeal small subunit ribosomal RNA", at positions 1 to 621 of the family's 1478-position model. The record is from RNAcentral. Lineage: Archaea; Methanobacteriati; Methanobacteriota; Methanomicrobia.
UACUCCCCUAUAACUCUGGUUGAUCCUGCCAGAGGCCACUGCUAUUGGAAUGCGACUAAGCCAUGCGAGUCAAGGGGCUCUUCGGAGCACCGGCGUACGGCUCAGUAACAUGUGGGUAACCUACCCUCAGGUGGGGGAUAACCUCGGGAAACUGAGGCUAAUACCCCAUAGAUAAAAGAUACUGGAAUGUUCUUUUAUCAAAAGCUCCGGCGCCUGAGGAUGGGCCUGCAUCCGAUUAGGUAGUUGGUGAGGUAACGGCUCACCAAGCCUGCGAUCGGUACGGGUCGUGAGAGCGAUAGCCCGGAGAUGGGGACUGAGACAAGGCCCCAGGCCCUACGGGGCGCAGCAGGCGCGAAACCUCUGCAAUGUGCGAAAGCAUGACAGGGGCAUUCCAAGUGCUCUUGUUUUACAAGAGCUUUUCUCCGGUCCAAGACGCCGGAGGAAUAAGGGCUGGGUAAGACCGGUGCCAGCCGCCGCGGUAACACCGGCAGCUCGAGUGGUGGCCGCUAUUAUUGGGCCUAAAGCGUUCGUAGCCGGGCAGGUAAGUGCUCUGGUAAAUCCCAUAACUUAAUUAUGGGGCUUCAGAACAUACUGCCUGCCUUGAGACCGGGAGAGGCUGGAGGUACUUU